Molecule: ribosomal RNA, 434 nt
Filed under: uncultured bacterium
Lineage: Bacteria
Description: partial 16S ribosomal RNA
Rfam family: Bacterial small subunit ribosomal RNA
Source: RNAcentral
AGCGAACGCUGGCGGCAGGCCUAACACAUGCAAGUCGAACGAACCUUUCGGGGUUAGUGGCGGACGGGUGAGUAACACGUGGGAACGUUCCUUUAGGUUCGGAAUAACUCAUGGAAACUUGUGCUAAUACCGAAUGUGCCCUUCGGGGGAAAGAUUUAUCGCCUUUAGAGCGGCCCGCGUCUGAUUAGCUAGUUGGUUGAGGUAAUGGCUCACCAAGGCUACGAUCAGUAGCUGGUCUGAGAGGAUGAUCAGCCACAUUGGGACUGAGACACGGCCCAAACUCCUACGGGAGGCAGCAGUGGGGAAUCUUGCGCAAUGGGCGAAAGCCUGACGCAGCCAUGCCGCGUGAAUGAUGAAGGUCUUAGGAUUGUAAAAUUCUUUCACCGGGGACGAUAAUGACGGUACCCGGAGAAGAAGCCCCGGCUAACUUCGUG